CAGUAGCCACGGUAAUACGGAGGGAGCUAGCGUUGUUCGGAAUUACUGGGCGUAAAGCGCACGUAGGCGGCUUUGUAAGUCAGAGGUGAAAGCCUGGAGCUCAACUCCAGAACUGCCUUUGAGACUGCAUCGCUUGAAUCCAGGAGAGGUGAGUGGAAUUCCGAGUGUAGAGGUGAAAUUCGUAGAUAUUCGGAAGAACACCAGUGGCGAAGGCGGCUCACUGGACUGGUAUUGACGCUGAGGUGCGAAAGCGUGGGGAGCAAACAGGAUUAGAGACCCCGGUAGUCCCUGUCUCUUAUAA
RNAcentral lists this ribosomal RNA (301 nucleotides) under uncultured bacterium. Its description in RNAcentral is "partial 16S ribosomal RNA". It matches the Rfam family "Bacterial small subunit ribosomal RNA", at positions 509 to 809 of the family's 1533-position model. The record is from RNAcentral.